AUUGAACGCUGGCGGCAGGCCUAACACAUGCAAGUCGAACGGCAGCACAGAAGAGCUUGCUCUUUGGGUGGCGAGUGGCGGACGGGUGAGUAAUGUCUGGGAAACUGCCCGAUGGAGGGGGAUAACUACUGGAAACGGUAGCUAAUACCGCAUAACGUCGCAAGACCAAAGUGGGGGACCUUCGGGCCUCACACCAUCGGAUGUGCCCAGAUGGGAUUAGCUAGUAGGUGGGGUAAUGGCUCACCUAGGCGACGAUCCCUAGCUGGUCUGAGAGGAUGACCAGCCAAACUGGAACUGAGACACGGUCCAGACUCCUACGGGAGGCAGCAGUGGGGAAUAUUGCACAAUGGGCGCAAGCCUGAUGCAGCCAUGCCGCGUGUAUGAAGAAGGCCUUCGGGUUGUAAAGUACUUUCAGCGGGGAGGAAGGCGGUGAGGUUAAUAACCUCGCCGAUUGACGUUACCCGCAGAAGAAGCACCGGCUAACUCCGUGCCAGCAGCCGCAGUAA
RNAcentral lists this ribosomal RNA (506 nucleotides) under uncultured bacterium. RNAcentral describes it as "partial 16S ribosomal RNA". It matches the Rfam family "Bacterial small subunit ribosomal RNA", at positions 30 to 523 of the family's 1533-position model. The record is from RNAcentral.